This is a non-coding RNA of Triticum urartu, 2360 nucleotides long. The record is from RefSeq and is a predicted model, not a curated record. NCBI's taxonomy places the organism in Eukaryota, Viridiplantae, Streptophyta, Magnoliopsida, Poales, Poaceae.
CUUAUUUGGCUAUAAUUCAUCUUUGCCAUUAGUUCUGUUAGUAAAAUGGACUGAGAAUGUUUGUGUAUUUUUUAUGCCUUGGCAUCUUGCAGCUACAGCCGCGCGCUGUGUGUGGCGAGGGAUUACUUCUCCUGUGCAGUAAUACCCUUUUUGGAGUGUCCCAUGUUUGCAACUAUCCUUAUCUGCAGAGAAAAACAAAGGGACAAACAAAGUCCGGAUGCAAGGUGCAAGGCAGGAAAGGCAGUAGUAGGCCGAGAGAAGUGUAGAAGAGGGUUCCUCCAGGCUCCAUCCAUGUACGGUGUCGGUCCGAUGCCUCGGGCAUGUGGCAAUGUCGGGGACCAGCGAGGAAGAUGCUGGUGUACACCCUUUGGAAUAAAGUUGAAGUAAGCUCUAAGCACCACGGAGCCUACCACGCACGCCAUCUUGAGCCUACCACGCACGCCAUCUUGUUUAUAGUGCAGAUAAUCUAUAAACUACUGUUUAGGAAAGGAUUUAUAGUGUCUCUGAUAUAACGGUUCAGAAUAAAUAUCCAAUGAAGAUGAUGCGUGACGAACAGCAUGAAAGUGGUCGUCAAGUAAUUAUUCUGCUGUUGGAAAUCGCCCACGAUCGAUCACAAUUCACAUCAAGUCGACGAACAUGACACACAAAAACUUUUGGCCAAAGGCAUGUGCCAUGUCUUGUUCUUCUCUUUAUUUCUUUUCUAUUUUCUCCACACGAUUACAAAACUCAUGCAGCUUCAUGUGUGUGUGUGUGUGUGUCUAUACACACACACGCGCGCGCGAAGCCAUGAGCCCAUGACCCAAUAACUGAACCGAGUAGUGGAAUAUUGUUGGUGCAAAUAAAUGUUCUUUGAGUUUAGAUGAUGCAUGGAUAAAUAACUCUAUGUGAUGAUUUAUUUGCCGGCACUGAUUACAUUCCCCAUGCAUUGUUGACGUUCCCACCCUUUGCCCUGCUAAUUCACGAAUUAGGUUUCAGACCCGAUAGCUUGUUAUGCUGUGUUGCAAUUAAACAGAAGUAUGGAUCUAGGAAAUUCAUGACUAGCUAUUGGUCUUCCUAUCAGCAGUAGAGAGAUGCCUGGUCAGCAGAUAUAUGUGUCUGAAACCUUUGCAUGGUGUACAUGCUAUACUAUGUAAUAAAUAAAAGGUAGUUUAAUUUUUUAUUAUGCCGCUAAGAUACCCAAUCAGACUGAUUAUACAUACACCCAAAACAAUAUAUUAUAGUCUGAACUAUGAAACUAUACUCAAGAGGAAAGGUUAUACAUCAAUCCUUUCUGCAGAUUUCUUAUCAGCUCAUUCUGUCCUGUAUGAUUAUUUUAUGCCACGCAAAUUGCUAGAUAUAUUCAUACUCUCCGUUUAACCAUAACAUCAAGAACACCCAAAAAUUAGCAAUCCUAACAGGUCUGCUGCUUGCGGGCAGAAAGUAACUAUCAAGGAAGAAGAGUUAGAUGCUAGUGACAUACCUGUCGAAGAUAUUGGCGGUAAGCAUGUGUCGUACAGGUUAUUUAUGCUUUCCCUUAAGCCAUUCUUAGCCAACCCCGUGCAGUCCAUGCGCUAUGCAUAAGAACCACAAAUCGCUCAAGCAGCGUCGAAGCCUGCCUGUGACUGUUCCAAAUGCAUGCCUAUCAAUCCAGCCAGCUCUGAGGCAAAAACUUGAACACAGAGCUUCACACAGCAAUGUUUGCCUCAGCAACAACGCCACAGAACCGGACCAUCGAUGGAAAAGGGUCCAUUUAGCUGAUGGGGAAUACAUUGUCCAUGGGAAAAACCUGGCUUCCUUUAUGUAACUUGUGUCGCUUUGGAAACAUAAUAAACACUAUGAAUUUCGUGGUGAGAACUACAUAGAUGAAUGAUGAGCUGAGUGACCAUUGUAUAUGGGGAAACAGUGUGACCCUAUACACACGCCAUGUAUAAGAUCAAUGUAAAUGAGCUGCAUGACCUGCCUUCGUACCUUUCUUUGUACAUCGUUAGUCCUUUUGGGCUAUCAUGCUACCAUGACUCAAGUGUAAACCAUUAUGUAUAAAGAUACUAUCUAAGUAUCCAUUUACAUGGUGUUUAAGUCCACUACAGAUCCAACGUAGGUUUGAUAUUAUCUUGCCUGGCCUCAUGCAAAUCUUUCUUGCAUAACAGGAUAUACCUAUUCAGUGAUUUCGCUCCUCUUUAUUGAACUUUUAUUGUUUCUUGCUCAACUAUAUAGGUUAUGAUAAAUAUCGUCGCGUGGCUUAUGGAAGGAGCUGCUGACAGGACUAUCUUAACAACAAACUUGACGGAGUUCUUCACAUAGCAAACAUAGAUGAAGGAACGAUGUAUGCCUUCACCUUUAGGCGCAACGCAAAGCGCCUCCGCCUCUAACCAUUCACUCCA